This is a long non-coding RNA of Lontra canadensis (Northern American river otter), 368 nucleotides long. RefSeq lists it as uncharacterized. NCBI's taxonomy places the organism in Eukaryota, Metazoa, Chordata, Mammalia, Carnivora, Mustelidae. The transcript has 3 exons. The record is from RefSeq and is a predicted model, not a curated record.
CUUUGAGAAUGGACAGGGCUGACUAGAUGAAGGAGUUGACAUCUGGUGUCUCUAGGCCCCAUCUGGCUGUGUGACCAUGGAGAUUUCAGAAGAGGAGUUUGUUGGUGGUAUGGAUUUUUUCUCUGCCUGUGAGUGCUUUGCAUGGUAAGGAGCAGGAAUAAGACUGGAAGAAAGCAUGACUAGACAUACCCAGAAAAGUGCAUUCUGGAAGGAGAACUCCCCUGUUUGAGAGCUUUGGCAAUCCUAAAUAAACAAAAAUGCAACAUUUAAAAAACAGCUCAUCUGGUGUUUCAUGUCUCAUCUGCUGCUCAGUUGGUCUGAGAAUGUGGCCCAAAAGAUGGCUUAGAUGAUCUAUGACCAAGUAAUCC